UGGAGGGCAAGUCUGGUGCCAGCAGCCGCGGUAAUUCCAGCUCCAAUAGCGUAUAUUAAAGUUGUUGAGGUUAAAAAGCUCGUGGUUGAACCUUGGGCCUAGCCGGCCGGUCCGCCUCACCGCGUGCACUGGCUCGGCUGGGCCUUUCCUUCUGGAGAACCGCAUGCCCUUCACUGGGUGUGCUGGGGAACCAGGACUUUUACUCUGAACAAAUUAGAUCGCUUAAAGAAGGCCUAUGCUCGAAUACAUUAGCAUGGAAUAAUAGAAUAGGACGUGUGGUUCUAUUUUGUUGGUUUCUAGGACCGCCGUAAUGAUUAAUAGGGACAGUCGGGGGCAUCAGUAUUCAAUUGUCAGAGGUGAAAUUCUUGGAUUUAUUGAAGACUAACUACUGCGAAAGCAUUUGCCAAGGAUGUUUUCAUUAAUCAGGAACGAAAGUUAGGGGAUCGAAGACGAUCAGAUACCGCCGUAGUCUUAACCAUAAACUAUGCCGAUUAGGGAUCGGACGGUGUUAUUUUUUGACCCGUUCGGCGCCUUACGGGAAAC
RNAcentral lists this ribosomal RNA (543 nucleotides) under uncultured Ascomycota. RNAcentral's name for it is "SSU rRNA". It matches the Rfam family "Eukaryotic small subunit ribosomal RNA", at positions 549 to 1098 of the family's 1831-position model. The record is from RNAcentral. Lineage: Eukaryota; Fungi; Ascomycota.